This 1372-nucleotide ribosomal RNA is filed under the name uncultured bacterium. RNAcentral describes it as "bacterial SSU rRNA". It matches the Rfam family "Bacterial small subunit ribosomal RNA", at positions 8 to 1373 of the family's 1533-position model. The record is from RNAcentral.
AGAGUUUGAUCCUGGCUCAGGAUGAACGCUAGCUACAGGCUUAACACAUGCAAGUCGAGGGGCAGCAUCGCGAUAGCUUGCUAUUGCGGAUGGCGACCGGCGCACGGGUGAGUAACGCGUAUCCAACCUUCCCGCAACUGGGGAAUAACCUUGCGAAAGUAAGACUAAUACCCCAUGGUCUCCACGGAUGGCAUCUGAAAUGGAGUAAAGGUUUCGGCCGGUUGCGGAUGGGGAUGCGUCCGAUUAGCUUGACGGCGGGGUAACGGCCCACCGUGGCAUCGAUCGGUAGGGGUUCUGAGAGGAAGGUCCCCCACAUUGGAACUGAGACACGGUCCAAACUCCUACGGGAGGCAGCAGUGAGGAAUAUUGGUCAAUGGGCGGAAGCCUGAACCAGCCAAGUAGCGUGAAGGACGACUGCCCUAUGGGUUGUAAACUUCUUUUAUGCGGGGAUAAAGUUCGCCACGUGUGGCGUUUUGCAGGUACCGCAUGAAUAAGGACCGGCUAAUUCCGUGCCAGCAGCCGCGGUAAUACAGAAGGUCCAGGCGUUAUCCGGAUUCAUUGGGUUUAAAGGGAGCGUAGGCCGCCUUUUAAGCGUGUUGUGAAAUGUAGGGGCUCAACCCCUGCACUGCAGCGCGAACUGGAGGGCUUGAGUACACACAAAGUAGGCGGAAUUCAUGGUGUAGCGGUGAAUGCUUAGAUAUCAUGAAGAACCCCGAUUGCGAAGGCAGCUUACUGGAGUGUAACUGACGCUGAAGCUCGAAAGCGCGGGUAUCGAGCAGGAUUAGAUACCCUGGUAGUCCGCGCGGUAAACGAUGGAUGCCCGCUGUUUGCCACUUUGGUAAGCGGCCAAGCGAAAGCGUUAAGCAUCCCACCUGGGGAGUACGCCGGCAACGGUGAAACUCAAAGGAAUUGACGGGGGCCCGCACAAGCGGAGGAACAUGUGGUUUAAUUCGAUGAUACGCGAGGAACCUUACCCGGGCUUGAAUUGCAGGAGAACGAUCCAGAGAUGGUGAGGCCCUUCGGGGCUCCUGUGAAGGUGCUGCAUGGUUGUCGUCAGCUCGUGCCGUGAGGUGUCGGCUUAAGUGCCAUAACGAGCGCAACCCCUCUCCGUAGUUGCCAUCGGGUGAAGCCGGGCACUCUGCGGAUACUGCCACCGUAAGGUGUGAGGAAGGUGGGGAUGACGUCAAAUCAGCACGGCCCUUACGUCCGGGGCUACACACGUGUUACAAUGGGGCAUACAGAAAGCAGGCGGCCGGCAACGUCCGUCUAAUCAUCAAAGUGUCCCUCAGUUCGGACUGGGGUCUGCAACCCGACCCCACGAAGCUGGAUUCGCUAGUAAUCGCGCAUCAGCCAUGGCGCGGUGAAUACGUUC